This 846-nucleotide ribosomal RNA is filed under the name marine metagenome. RNAcentral describes it as "bacterial SSU rRNA". It matches the Rfam family "Bacterial small subunit ribosomal RNA", at positions 8 to 900 of the family's 1533-position model. The record is from RNAcentral.
AGAGUUUGAUCAUGGCUCAGAAUGAACGCUGGCGGCACGCUUAACACAUGCAAGUCGAACGAGAUCUUCGGAUCUAGUGGCAGACGGGUGAGUAACGCGUGGGAACCUGCCCUUUAGUAGAGAACAACUCGAGGAAACUUGAGCUAAUACUUUAUACGCCCUUUGGGGGAAAGCUUUAUGCGCUAUUGGAUGGGCCCGCGUUAGAUUAGUUUGUUGGUGAGGUAAUGGCUCACCAAGACGUCGAUCUAUAGCUGGUCUGAGAGGAUGAUCAGCCACACUGGGACUGAGACACGGCCCAGACUCCUACGGGAGGCAGCAGUGGGGAAUAUUGGACAAUGGGGGCAACCCUGAUCCAGCGAUGCCGCGUGAGUGAUGAAGGCCUUAGGGUUGUAAAGCUCUUUCGUCAGGGAAGAUAAUGACGGUACCUGAAGAAGAAGAUCCGGCUAACUCCGUGCCAGCAGCCGCGGUAAUACGGAGGGAUCUAGCGUUAUUCGGAAUUACUGGGCGUAAAGCGAGCGUAGGCGGAUUUGUAAGUUGGAGGUGAAAUCCCAGAGCUUAACUCUGGAACUGCCUUCAAAACUACAUUUCUUGAGUUUGGUAGAGGAGAGUGGAAUUCCUAGUGUAGAGGUGAAAUUCGUAGAUAUUAGGAGGAACACCAGUGGCGAAGGCGACUCUCUGGGCCAAUACUGACGCUGAGGUUCGAAAGCAUGGGUAGCGAACAGGAUUAGAUACCCUGGUAGUCCAUGCAGUAAACGAUGAGUGCUAGAUGUUGGAAACAUUAGUUUUCAGUAUCGCAGUUAACGCGUUAAGCACUCCGCCUGGGAAGUACGGCCGCAAGGCUAAAAC